CCUACGGGAGGCAGCAGUGGGGGAUAUUGCACAAUGGGGGGAACCCUGAUGCAGCGACGCCGCGUGGGUGAAGGAGCUUUUCGGCGCGUAAAGCCCUAUCGGUAGGGAAGAAGAUGACGGUACCUGACCAAGACGCCCCGGCUAACUACGUGCCAGCAGCCGCGGUCAUACGUAGGGGGCAAGCGUUAUCCGGAUUUACUGGGUGGAAAGGGGGCGCAGACGGCAAUGCAAGCAAGGAGUGAAAGCCCGGGGCCCAACCCCGGGACUGCUCUUGGAACUGCAUGGCUGGAGUACAGGAGGGGCAGGCGGAAUUCCUAGUGUAGCGGUGAAAUGCGUAGAUAUUAGGAGGAACACCGGUGUCGAAGGCGGCCUGCUGGACUGUGACUGACGUUGAGGCCCGAAGGCGUGGGGAGGAAACAGGAUUAGAUACCCUGGUAGUC
Molecule: ribosomal RNA, 440 nt
Filed under: uncultured bacterium
Lineage: Bacteria
Description: partial 16S ribosomal RNA
Rfam family: Bacterial small subunit ribosomal RNA
Source: RNAcentral